AUUCCCGCGUAUGUACUUGUUAAGCCUUUAAGAAAGAAGUUUAUAACUUAAGGAAUUAUAACAAAGAAGUAACACAUAAUAAGGUUGCCUUAUUUAGUGUGUAUCAAUCGAGUUUCUGACCUAUCAGCUUUUGAUGUUAGGGUAUUGGCCUAACAUGGCUAUGACGGGUAACGGGGAAUUAGAGUUCGAUUCCGGAGAGGGAGCCUGAGAAAUAGCUACCACAUCUAAGGAAGGCAGCAGGCGCGUAAAUUACCCAAUUCUAAAGAAGAGAGGUAGUGACAAGAAAUAACAAUACAAGGCCAUUUCAUGGUUUUGUAAUUGGAAUGAUGGGAAUUUAAAACCUUCCCAAAAUUCAAUUGGAGGGCAAGUCUGGUGCCAGCAGCCGCGGUAAUUCCAGCUCCAAUAGCGUAUAUUAAAAUUGUUGCAGUUAAAACGCUCGUAGUUGAAUUUCAAAGAAUCAAUAUUUUAAGUAAUACUUUUGCUAUAAGAUGCUUAGACAAUACAACGUAUCUGUUCUUUGCAUUCCUUAUGCAAAAUGUGUUCUUAUUAUAAAAAGGAUUCUUUUUAAAAUCUCUUUUGCUAUUUUUUAGUAUUGGAGAUUUUGUUACUUUGAGUAAAUUAGAGUGUUCAAAGCAAACAGUUAAAGCAUUUUACUGCCUUUGAAUACUACAGCAUGGAAUAACAAAAUUGAACAAGUCAGAAUUCUGUUCCUUUUUCCUAUUUUGGCU
This 728-nucleotide ribosomal RNA is filed under the name Plasmodium ovale (malaria parasite P. ovale). RNAcentral's name for it is "SSU rRNA". It matches the Rfam family "Eukaryotic small subunit ribosomal RNA", at positions 191 to 864 of the family's 1831-position model. The record is from RNAcentral. Lineage: Eukaryota; Apicomplexa; Aconoidasida; Haemosporida; Plasmodiidae.